Molecule: long non-coding RNA, 1326 nt
Organism: Alosa sapidissima (American shad)
Lineage: Eukaryota; Metazoa; Chordata; Actinopteri; Clupeiformes; Clupeidae
Exons: 3
Source: RefSeq, a predicted model, not a curated record
CAUGUGUGUGUGUGUUUUUCUUCCUUGGAUGUCUCUUAACCUUCCAUCACAGUAUCACUCUAGAGACACAGAGAAAUCGACCACCAGCCCCGAUGACCAACAAAAACAUUAGACACACGGCCAUGUCCUAUUUCUUUCUAUUCCACAGUUUCCAUAUGAAUCCUCCAGCUCAACAUGAAAGAAUGCAGGUCUCCAUGUAGGAGUGCAGGUCUCCAUGUAAGAGUGCGGGUCUCCAUGUAAGAGUGCAGGUCUCCAUGUAAGAGUUUGUAAGAGUGCGUAAGAGUGCAGGUCUCUAUGUAAGAGUGCGGGUCUCCAUGUAAGAGUGCGGGUCUCUGUGUAAGAGUGCGGGUCUCCAUGUAAGAGUGCGGGUCUCUAUGUAAGAGUGUGUAAGAGUGCGGGUCUCUAUGUAAGAGUGCGGGUCUCCAUGUAAGAGUGCGGGUCUCUGUGUAAGAGUGCGGGUCUCCAUGUAAGAGUGCGGGUCUCUAUGUAAGAGUGUGUAAGAGUGCGGGUCUCCAUGUAAGAGUGCGAGUCUCUAUGUAAGAGUGUGUAAGAGUGCGUAAGAGUGCGGGUCUCUGUGUAAGAGUGCGGUUCUCUGUGUAAGAGUGCGAGUCUCUGUGUAAGAGUGUGUAAGAGUGCGGGUCUCCAUGUAAGAGUGUGUAAGAGUGCAGGUCUCUAUGUAAGAGUGUGUAAGAGAGUGCAGGUCUCUAUGUAAGAGUGCGGGUCUCUAUGUAAGAGUUGCGGGUCUCUGUGUAAGAGUGCGGGUCUCCAUGUAAGAGUGUGUAAGAGUGCGGGUCUCUAUGUAAGAGUGUGUAAGAGUGCAGGUGUCCGUGUAAGAGUGCGGGUCUCUGUAUAAGAGUGCGGGUCUCUAUGUAAGAGUGCGGGUCUCCAUGUAAGAGUGUGUAAGAGUGCGGGUCUCCAUGCAAGAGUGUGUAAGAGUGCGGGUCUCCAUGUAAGAGUGCAGGUCUCCAUGUAAGAGUGCGGGUCUCCAUGUAAGAGUGCAGGUCUCCAUGUAAGAGUGCGGGUCUCCAUGUAAGAGUGCGGGUAUCUGUGUAAGAGUGCGGUCUCCAUGUAAGAGUGCAGGUCUCCAUGUAAGAGUGCGGGUCUCUGUGUAAGUAGAACGGAGAGCAGAGAGGAGCCAUAAUGGAGGUGUGAAGCACAGAGUGAAAUGUGUGAACAGAAUGGGAUUAUGUGGAAGAGUCUUGCUAGGCACCACAGGGGCAGAGCAUCCCUGGGGAAGAGCACAUUACCUCAAUCAUUAUGAAGACGACUCAUACACACACACACUCUCAAUCGGACACACAGUCAUUAUGAAGACGACUCACACAC